This is a long non-coding RNA of Bufo bufo (common toad), 334 nucleotides long. RefSeq lists it as uncharacterized. The record is from RefSeq and is a predicted model, not a curated record. The transcript has 3 exons. Lineage: Eukaryota; Metazoa; Chordata; Amphibia; Anura; Bufonidae.
GACCAUGAUUGUUUUGAAUUAAUGAAAACUGAAACAAAAGAACUUGAUAAUGUCACAGAAAUACCAAUACCUAAUGCUGAUCUUGAGCUUUUUGUAGAUGGAUCCAGGUACUACCUUGAUAGAAAACCAUACAAGGGAUAUGCAGUGACUACCUUUGAGGAAGUUGUGAGAAAAGGAUCACUCCCACCUGGAUGCUCUGCACAGGAAGCGGAGUUGAAAGCAUUCACUGAGGCAGGUAUAAUGGCUGAAGAAGUAACUACUGUGAUUAAGAACAAAGAUACUCCCGCACAAGUGAUGGUCAUGAUGGCUCCACCCUCAACAUCUGCAACAACUA